AAGUCGUAACAAGGUUUCCGUAGGUGAACCUGCGGAAGGAUCAUUACCGAGUGAGGGCCCUCUGGGUCCAACCUCCCACCCAUGUUUAUUGUACCUUGUUGCUUCGGCGGGCCCGCCUCACGGCCGCCGGGGGGCUUCUGCCCUCUGGCCCGCGCCCGCCGAAGACACCAUUGAACACUGUCUGAAGAUUGCAGUCUGAGCAAUUAGCUAAAUAAGUUAAAACUUUCAACAACGGAUCUCUUGGUUCCG
RNAcentral lists this unclassified non-coding RNA (249 nucleotides) under Penicillium momoi. RNAcentral describes it as "partial contains small subunit ribosomal RNA, internal transcribed spacer 1, and 5.8S ribosomal RNA". The stretch from base 1 to 46 matches the Rfam family "Eukaryotic small subunit ribosomal RNA", at positions 1786 to 1831 of the family's 1831-position model. The record is from RNAcentral. RNAcentral also lists the same sequence under 2 other names. Lineage: Eukaryota; Fungi; Ascomycota; Eurotiomycetes; Eurotiales; Aspergillaceae.